UGGUGGGUAGUUUGACUGGGGCGGUCUCCUCCUAAAGAGUAACGGAGGAGCACGAAGGUUGGCUAAUCCUGGUCGGACAUCAGGAGGUUAGUGCAAUGGCAUAAGCCAGCUUGACUGCGAGCGUGACGGCGCGAGCAGGUGCGAAAGCAGGUCAUAGUGAUCCGGUGGUUCUGAAUGGAAGGGCCAUCGCUCAACGGAUAAAAGGUACUCCGGGGAUAACAGGCUGAUACCGCCCAAGAGUUCAUAUCGACGGCGGUGUUUGGCACCUCGAUGUCGGCUCAUCACAUCCUGGGGCUGAAGUAGGUCCCAAGGGUAUGGCUGUUCGCCAUUUAAAGUGGUACGCGAGCUGGGUUUAGAACGUCGUGAGACAGUUCGGUCCCUAUCUGCCGUGGGCGCUGGAGAACUGAGGGGGGCUGCUCCUAGUACGAGAGGACCGGAGUGGACGCAUCACUGGUGUUCGGGUUGUCAUGCCAAUGGCACUGCCCGGUAGCUAAAUGCGGAAGAGAUAAGUGCUGAAAGCAUCUAAGCACGAAACUUGCCCCGAGAUGAGUUCUCCCUGACUCCUUGAGAGUCCUGAAGGAACGUUGAAGACGACGACGUUGAUAGGCCGGGUGUGUAAGCGCAGCGAUGCGUUGAGCUAACCGGUACUAAUGAACCGUGAGGCUUAACCUUACAACGCCGAAGGUGU
This 688-nucleotide ribosomal RNA is filed under the name Escherichia coli. RNAcentral describes it as "partial 23S ribosomal RNA". It matches the Rfam family "Bacterial large subunit ribosomal RNA", at positions 2259 to 2925 of the family's 2925-position model. Lineage: Bacteria; Pseudomonadati; Pseudomonadota; Gammaproteobacteria; Enterobacterales; Enterobacteriaceae. The record is from RNAcentral.